CAGCAGCCGCGGGAAUACGAAGGUCCCAAGCGUUGUUCGGAAUCACUGGGCGUAAAGGGAGCGUAGGCGGCGUGGUAAGUCAGAUGUGAAAUCCCGGGGCUCAACCCCGGAACUGCAUCCGAUACUGCCAUGCUUGAGGGUUGGAGAGGUGACUGGAAUUAUCGGUGUAGCAGUGAAAUGCGUGGAUAUCGAUAGGAACACUCGUGGCGAAGGCGAGUCACUGGACAACAUCUGACGCUGAGGCUCGAAGGCUAGGGUAGCGAAAGGGAUUAGAUACCCCGGUAGUCCCUGUCUCUUAUAC
RNAcentral lists this ribosomal RNA (301 nucleotides) under uncultured bacterium. RNAcentral's name for it is "partial 16S ribosomal RNA". It matches the Rfam family "Bacterial small subunit ribosomal RNA", at positions 509 to 807 of the family's 1533-position model. The record is from RNAcentral.